RNAcentral lists this ribosomal RNA (253 nucleotides) under uncultured bacterium. RNAcentral's name for it is "partial 16S ribosomal RNA". It matches the Rfam family "Bacterial small subunit ribosomal RNA", at positions 524 to 776 of the family's 1533-position model. The record is from RNAcentral.
UACGAAGGGGGCUAGCGUUGCUCGGAAUCACUGGGCGUAAAGGGCGCGUAGGCGGACUCUUAAGUCGGGGGUGAAAGCCCAGGGCUCAACCCUGGAAUUGCCUUCGAUACUGAGAGUCUUGAGUUCGGAAGAGGUUGGUGGAACUGCGAGUGUAGAGGUGAAAUUCGUAGAUAUUCGCAAGAACACCAGUGGCGAAGGCGGCCAACUGGUCCGAUACUGGCGCUGAGGCGCGAAAGCGUGGGGAGCAAACAGG